This 286-nucleotide long non-coding RNA is filed under the name Zostera marina. Its description in RNAcentral is "long non-coding RNA (ZMAR_LNC004087)". Lineage: Eukaryota; Viridiplantae; Streptophyta; Magnoliopsida; Alismatales; Zosteraceae. The record is from RNAcentral.
AUACUUUUAGCCGACAAGGUCUUCCUUUGUCUGUUUUCCUUUUGUGUUUUUAUAUACGCAUAUAUUUUCUAACUCUGUUUUUGUUUCUUGCAGAUUUUUAUAUGCAUCACCCCGGAGGUAUCCCCGAACGCGUCGGACAAAACGAGACGGGUUCCAAAGUUUAUGCCGCUGCCUCCAAACCUUCUGACGCUGAUCAUCUGAGGCAGCGUGCGCUAGAGAACGCCUACACAAUGGCGAAGUCCCCUACUCCUGAUGAGGCCCGACGAACUGAGGAAGGGGAGGUACC